GGGCCCGUAGCUUAGCCUGGUGGAGCGUCUGGCUCAUAACCAGAUGGUCGCCGGUUCGAAUGCAGACUUGCCACA
RNAcentral lists this transfer RNA (75 nucleotides) under Thermoplasmata archaeon. RNAcentral describes it as "tRNA-Met". The record is from RNAcentral. Lineage: Archaea; Methanobacteriati; Thermoplasmatota; Thermoplasmata. RNAcentral also lists the same sequence under 1 other name.